GACGAACCGUGCGAACGUUGUUCGGAAUCACUGGGCUUAAAGGGCGCGUAGGCGGGUCAUCAAGUCUGGGGUGAAAUCUUUCGGCUUAACCGGAAAACAGCCUUGGAUACUGAUGGUCUCGAGCGAGGUAGGGGCAGCUGGAACUUCCGGUGGAGCGGUGAAAUGCGUUGAUAUCGGAAGGAACGCCGGUGGCGAAAGCGAGCUGCUGGACCUUUUCUGACGCUGAGGCGCGAAAGCCAGGGGAGCAAACGGG
Molecule: ribosomal RNA, 253 nt
Filed under: uncultured bacterium
Lineage: Bacteria
Description: partial 16S ribosomal RNA
Rfam family: Bacterial small subunit ribosomal RNA
Source: RNAcentral